CUCACGGCCAAGCCCAUCAACACCGACACCAGCAGUUGGGCCACGAACACACAGCUGCUCACCACUGCCACGUCCGUGCCAAGCCCGCGAGCGUCGCCACUGCCGCCGCCGGCGCUGUCCCACUGGAAUAUGAAAAGGCAAAUUCCAACAAGGAGCGAGGGCAAAGGUGGAUCGAGACUUGAUCGAUACCAAUGGAACUAAAUCACCAGAGCUGUAAAAUCGAAACCCUAAGAAGAAAACACCGCCUAAAAAAAUCUGUUGCUAGAAAAAGUCUUCAUAAAAUUGGAUUGGGAGGAGUACGGGCUUAACAUAUAUGGCAGGAGACUAAACAACCUCAGAUUCGCUGACGACCUAGUACUGACGGAGGAAGAUCCCAAAAAAUUGGUGUUCAUGGUCAAAAACUUGUGCGAGGAGAGUAAACUUGUGGGUUUGGAAAUAAAUGCAAACAAAACAAAGAUGAUGACAAACGCAACCAAGGUAAACAUAAAAAUAGAUGGAAGCGCUUUUGAAUAUGUCGACGAGUAUGUGUACCUGGGUCAAAUUAUUUCCCCCAAAGACCAAAUGACCAAAGAAAUCGACAAACGAAUAGCAUGUGGAUGGGGAAAAUACUGGUCACUAAAAGAAAUAAUGAAAAGUAAGGACCUAGGUACCUAUAUAAAGAGAAAGACGUCCAAUACGUGCAUCCUCCCAUGAAUGACAUACGGAUGUGAAACCUGGUCAUUAACAGCAGAGCACAGAGACAAACUCGUCAAAUGCCAACGAGCUAUGGAGAGAAGUCUGCUUGGUACAAAACUAAGGGACAGUAUUUGGAACGAGGAAAUAAAGCGAAGAACAAAAGUAAAGGACAUACUCGAGCGUAUCGACCAACAAAAGUGGAGGUGGACAGGCCACAUGCUGCGCGACAACAAAGAAAAAUGGAGCAAGCAAGUGACCCACUGGUACCCACUCGGCUGCAAGCGCAAAAAAGCGCAGAUGGGAAGAUGACAUCCAGUUUACUCUAGUAUCCCGCUGGACCAGUGCAGUGUUGCUUUAGACAGCACUGGAAAAAGUUGGAAGAGGCCUAUGCCGACAGGCACACCACAUUAAGAGACAUUUUAUAAUAAGACAACUUAAUAUUUGUAUUUACAAGUGUUUCAUAUGUGGAUUAAAGGCUUAUUUAAUUUAAUUAAUAUCCGUUAUGUCACUAGCACCAAUAUAUAGGUGUUUAGCUUGUCGAUUACCUAAUACUUACAGCAUAUCGAACACCGCCCCACGGCACGAAGUCUGUAAAUUAGAGUGAGUAGCAGACAUGAGCCAUCCAGCAGGACAGAUUAGUGAGGCACACGACGCGGAGUGAGGACGGCAUCUCCACGAUGGAGCCAAU
Long non-coding RNA from Cydia pomonella (codling moth), 1363 nucleotides. RefSeq lists it as uncharacterized. NCBI's taxonomy places the organism in Eukaryota, Metazoa, Arthropoda, Insecta, Lepidoptera, Tortricidae. The transcript is spliced from 3 exons. The record is from RefSeq and is a predicted model, not a curated record.